UGCGGAGGAUGCAAGCGUUAUCCGGAUUUAUUGGGUUUAAAGGGUGCGCAGGUUGUUUGAUAAGUCAGUGGUGAAAGUCUGUCGCUUAACGGUAGGAUUGCCAUUGAUACUGUUAGACUUGAAUAUGGAUGAGGUAGGCGGAAUGUGUAGUGUAGCGGUGAAAUGCAUAGAUAUUACACAGAACACCGAUUGCGAAGGCAUCUUACUAAUCCAUCAUUGACGCUGAGGCACGAAAGCGUGGGGAUCAAACA
RNAcentral lists this ribosomal RNA (251 nucleotides) under uncultured prokaryote. RNAcentral's name for it is "partial 16S ribosomal RNA". It matches the Rfam family "Bacterial small subunit ribosomal RNA", at positions 524 to 774 of the family's 1533-position model. The record is from RNAcentral.